This 113-nucleotide non-coding RNA is filed under the name uncultured Ochromonas. The record is from RNAcentral. Lineage: Eukaryota; Chrysophyceae; Chromulinales; Chromulinaceae.
CACCACAUCAAUAAAAGAAGAGAAAAAGAGAAACAAGAAGAGAAAAAAGACUCCCUUAUUGGUGAAGAAAGAUCCUUUACACUACCCACCUCUCUUUCUCCCUUUCACUUCCU